UACGUAGGGUGCAAGCGUUGUCCGGAAUUAUUGGGCGUAAAGGGGAGGUAGGUGGUCUUGUUUGUCUAGGGUGAAAUCCCAGGGCUUAACCCUGGAAGUGCCCUAGAAACGGCAAGACUAGAGUUCUAGAGGGGGUCGUGGAAUUCCCGGUGUAGCGGUGAAAUGCGUAGAGAUCGGGAGGAACACCAGCGGCGAAGGCGGCGACCUGGAUAGAUACUGACACUCAACUACGAAAGCGUGGGGAUCAAACAGG
Molecule: ribosomal RNA, 253 nt
Filed under: uncultured bacterium
Lineage: Bacteria
Description: partial 16S ribosomal RNA
Rfam family: Bacterial small subunit ribosomal RNA
Source: RNAcentral